Molecule: long non-coding RNA, 1914 nt
Organism: Leptonychotes weddellii (Weddell seal)
Lineage: Eukaryota; Metazoa; Chordata; Mammalia; Carnivora; Phocidae
Source: RefSeq, a predicted model, not a curated record
ACUUUAGUCAGUUUGGUUGUUUUGAAAGCAGCUUUUAAGUGCAAAUGUUUCAAAGAGAAAUCCUCCAGCGAAUUACUAUCAGAUAAUAGCACCUUUGUUUGCUGGCAGAGUGAAAGGCUGUGAUGUCCUCAGACAGAAAACAGAGAAGUUUUGACGAAGAGGAGUGGUGUGUUAGAGGUCUGGGGCUUCAGAAGUACUAGGCAGUGGUCAGUUUGAGGAUGCUGUGUACGGCUGUGAUCGAAGAUUCGGAGUCACUGGAUGGAAGAAGGGAUAGAGAAAGGGAACUGGAGUGAUGUUGGAGGAGUAAAGAAAGAAAAGUUAUCUAUUGUCGCCAGACAUACACUGAAUGGUAGCUUUAUUUGAACAACUCCCAUCCUUCCUUCCCGAGGAGCAGCAUUGUAGUCGCCAAGUGUCCUGAAGGAUCUGAUAGAACAGCAAGAAUUUCCAGGUAGAGCCAGUGAUUGAGCCAGGUUCUGGGAAAUGAAAAUAAAUGAUCUGGAAGCCUCAGCUACUGGACAAACUUUCUCUGGAAGUUGAAGAUCGUAAAGGCCUUGCACCUGAAGUGAGCUAAAUUCACCUCGCCUUGUCUACUGAGGGGAAGGAAAAGGGAAAUCACACCCCAGAGCUCGGCGAGCCCAUAAAAUGGCAGAGCUUCCUGGAGAAGGCUGCCCUGAACCCCAAGGCCCUGGCUGCCGGCGCUGUAAUGAAAUGCAUGACUACGGAAGACAAUAAUAAUUGCAGCAACGGCUCGUUCCAGCUCCCGGAUGAUUUGGUGCUGUCAGGAGUGCGCUGUCCUCUGACAUCCCAGGAGGUGAACAGCACCAGUGACUGCAGGCCCUGAUUGGGGCAGUGAAAUAUUGCUGGCAAAAAUUAAAAGGUCCCCGUGUCAAAAUAAUUCAUGAUAUGCAUAUCUUCCAUUCUGAUGAAACGGCUGAUAUCCGGAUUAGCAAGAUAAUAAAACUGAUCAGGCUACAGUUAAACAAUUUAAGUUGGAGAGCUGUUCAUUUUGUAGGUGUCACUUGUCAGAUCAAGGGGUCAAAGCAGAAUGAAAGGCUCUCCCCGGUAACCUUCCGAUGAUGUGGAUCUGGAAUGUUCUUCAUGAUUUGUCCAAAGUUUUCAUCAUCGGGCUGCCGACUAGCAUUACUGCGGCAGGCUGUGUUCUGACAUUCAAAUCCCCGGAAUGACAGGUUAUUAGGAGAGGAGAACAGGCUCUACAUACAUUAAGCGCCGUAUCUCUGACCUGUAAUGUGAACUGAUAGUGAUAUUGUAAUUGAGUGCGUCUAAAAAAAAGGAGGGGGGAGUCUUUAUUAAAACAUGGGAAUAGAAAGGAAAGCAUUUAUAUUUCUGAUGAUUUGUGGGUUUGUAAAAUAAGCUUUUUGGUGAUGAUUUAUUUUCCAUUUCUAGAAGGCUGAGUGGUGUGCAUAGUGUUUAUUUGGUGUAACAGUUAUUAAACUAAGAUAACACGAACUCUCUCAGCCUCUCUCCACAUGCUGAGCAGGCACAGAUCAAAAGAGAUUUGUUCUAUUAAAGGCAGUAGCUUUAAAAUGAACAAAAUGGGCCCAAGUACAACCCAAGGCCAGGACGACUCCUCAGGAUGUUUGCCUUAGAGCUCUGGCUUCAUGCGCUGCUCUGCCUGAGGCUGAGCUCUCUCUCCUCCAUGAGCCCAGCCAAGGAGGCUGGGCGGCCUCCCUUAUUGGUGUCAACGACUCCAUUGUGGGUGGUGUCAUGCACUGGGAAACUAAUUUAAUGUGCAUUAACGGGGUCUUAGGUGAUACCUUUCAGCUUUCUCAUGAAAUACCCUAGUCUUAGGGAGUGAGGCAGGCAAAUCACUGAAUUCAGUGGUGGCUGUGGGUUCCCAGAAAGAGCCUGACUCUUUGGUGACCAUAAAGAGACUCAGUGGGUAGGGGCACCUGG